RNAcentral lists this ribosomal RNA (406 nucleotides) under uncultured Methylobacterium sp. RNAcentral's name for it is "bacterial SSU rRNA". It matches the Rfam family "Bacterial small subunit ribosomal RNA", at positions 83 to 524 of the family's 1533-position model. The record is from RNAcentral. Lineage: Bacteria; Pseudomonadati; Pseudomonadota; Alphaproteobacteria; Hyphomicrobiales; Methylobacteriaceae.
CUUUCGGGGUCAGCGGCGGACGGGUGAGUAACGCGUCACAACGUGCCUUCCGGUUCGGAAUAACCCUGGGAAACUAGGGCUAAUACCGGAUACGCCCUUUUGGGGAAAGGGAAACUGCUGAAGGAUCGGCCCGCGUCUGAUUAGCUAGUUGGUGGGGUAACGGCCUACCAAGGCGACGAUCAGUAGCUGGUCUGAGAGGAUGAUCAGCCACACUGGGACUGAGACACGGCCCAGGCUCCUACGGGAGGCAGCAGUGGGGAAUAUUGGACAAUGGGCGCAAGCCUGAUCCAGCCAUGCCGCGUGAGUGAUGAAGGCCUUAGGGUUGUAAAGCUCUUUUAUCCCGAACGAUAAUGACGGUACCGGAGGAAUAAGCCCCGGCUAACUUCGUGCCAGCAGCCGCGGUAAU